CCCAGAGCCGGGCGCUCCCGGUCUCGGCGGGGCUGCCAAGGACCAGGGCACCCGCCGCCUUUGCACUCCAGGCCGCGACGAGCAGGCCAGUCCCGAGAUUCUGAGUGGGUAAUUUCGGAUGAACAGUACAAACAAGCCUGCUCGCUAGCACGGGGCGCUAAGCCAUCAGCGUGGGUACUCUCCAUUCCCCCCACCACCACAGACACACAAUUCAUCUGGAACUCCAACACCUCACUAUGGGUGAGGUGAGACCACAAGCCAAAAGCACACCACGCUGUUCCAUCCCAAAAGGUGGAGAUGAGGAGACUGAGGCUCAGAGAAAGGAAGAUUUGCCCAAGGUCGCACAGGCCUAGCUGGUUCUGAAGAUCAAGAUCCUCCCUCCAUACUUGGCAGCAUCACAGUGGCGUAGCCUUGGGCAGUCCCCACUCCUUUCUUUGGUAUUUGGUUUCUUUGUCCUCAAAAUGAAGACACUGGGCACCCGUCUAGCAAGUACACCAUCCUGGGUUCGAUACCCAGUGCCAAAACAGAU
This is a long non-coding RNA of Perognathus longimembris pacificus (Pacific pocket mouse), 529 nucleotides long. RefSeq lists it as uncharacterized. The transcript has 3 exons. Lineage: Eukaryota; Metazoa; Chordata; Mammalia; Rodentia; Heteromyidae. The record is from RefSeq and is a predicted model, not a curated record.